This 464-nucleotide ribosomal RNA is filed under the name uncultured bacterium. RNAcentral's name for it is "bacterial SSU rRNA". It matches the Rfam family "Bacterial small subunit ribosomal RNA", at positions 337 to 793 of the family's 1533-position model. The record is from RNAcentral.
UCCUACGGGAGGCAGCAGUGGGGGAAUAUUGCACAAUGGGCGCAAGCCUGAUGCAGCCAUGCCGCGUGUAUGAAGAAGGCCUUCGGGUUGUAAAGUACUUUCAGCAGUGAGGAAGGUGGGUAUGUUAAUAGCAUAUUCAUUUGACGUUAGCUGCAGAAGAAGCACCGGCUAACUCCGUGCCAGCAGCCGCGGUAAUACGGAGGGUGCGAGCGUUAAUCGGAAUUACUGGGCGUAAAGCGCAUGCAGGUGGUUUGUUAAGUCAGAUGUGAAAGCCCGGGGCUCAACCUCGGAAUUGCAUUUGAAACUGGCAAACUAGAGUACUGUAGAGGGGGUAGAAUUUCAGGUGUAGCGGUGAAAUGCGUAGAGAUCUGAAGGAAUACCGGUGGCGAAGGCGGCCCCCUGGACAGAUACUGACACUCAGAUGCGAAAGCGUGGGGAGCAAACAGGAUUAGAUACCCUGGUAG